AGUGAACGCUGGCGGUAGGCCUAACACAUGCAAGUCGAACGGCAGCACAGAGGAGCUUGCUCCUUGGGUGGCGAGUGGCGGACGGGUGAGGAAUACAUCGGAAUCUACUCUGUCGUGGGGGAUAACGUAGGGAAACUUACGCUAAUACCGCAUACGACCUACGGGUGAAAGCAGGGGACCUUCGGGCCUUGCGCGAUUGAAUGAGCCGAUGUCGGAUUAGCUAGUUGGCGGGGUAAAGGCCCACCAAGGCGACGAUCCGUAGCUGGUCUGAGAGGAGGAUCAGCCAAACUGGAACGGAGAACCGGUCCAGACUCCUACGGGAGGCAGCAGUGGGGAAUAUUGGACAAUGGGCGCAAGCCUGAUCCAGCCAUACCGCGUGGGUGAAGAAGGCCUUCGGGUUGUAAAGCCCUUUUGUUGGGAAAGAAAUCCAGCUGGCUAAUACCCGGUUGGGAUGACGGUACCCAAAGAAUAAGCACCGGCUAACUUCGUGCCAGCCGCCGCGGUAA
This 506-nucleotide ribosomal RNA is filed under the name uncultured bacterium. RNAcentral's name for it is "partial 16S ribosomal RNA". It matches the Rfam family "Bacterial small subunit ribosomal RNA", at positions 29 to 523 of the family's 1533-position model. The record is from RNAcentral.